RNAcentral lists this long non-coding RNA (319 nucleotides) under Rosa chinensis. RNAcentral's name for it is "sRNA RchiOBHm_Chr6g0299491". The record is from RNAcentral. Lineage: Eukaryota; Viridiplantae; Streptophyta; Magnoliopsida; Rosales; Rosaceae.
GGAGGGGCUCGAGCCCGGUCUGUUGCAAGGGCGUCGGGCAGAGGCUGGAGGUUGCCGAAAUUCGAUUUGGAGCAGAUCGGGUCUGAACAAGGUCGUGAUCUGAACGACGGAAGAAGAAGGUGAUCGGGUCUGGACGAACUGGCAGUCGAAAGAAUGAUCUAUGCGUGCGAGCUAGUUGAGGCCGGUCUGGCAGGCUGUGGGACGCGCACUGGAGGCCGGUGGGUUGUGGAACGAGCGCUGGAGGCCGAUCUGGCCGGUGAGGACGUUGCUGGGCUUGCUCCUCACAGGGGAUUGCUGGGGAAUGCCGCGUGCAGGUGGG